RNAcentral lists this ribosomal RNA (497 nucleotides) under uncultured bacterium. Its description in RNAcentral is "partial 16S ribosomal RNA". It matches the Rfam family "Bacterial small subunit ribosomal RNA", at positions 28 to 507 of the family's 1533-position model. The record is from RNAcentral.
GACGAACGCUGGCGGCGUGCCUAAUACAUGCAAGUUGAGCGAUGAAGCUUGGUGCUUGCACCAAUUUGAAGAGCAGCGAACGGGUGAGUAACGCGUGGGGAAUCUGCCUUUGAGCGGGGGACAACAUUUGGAAACGAAUGCUAAUACCGCAUAACAACUUUAAACAUAAGUUUUAAGUUUGAAAGAUGCAAUUGCAUCACUCAAAGAUGAUCCCGCGUUGUAUUAGCUAGUUGGUGAGGUAAAGGCUCACCAAGGCGAUGAUACAUAGCCGACCUGAGAGGGUGAUCGGCCACAUUGGGACUGGGACACGGCCCAAACUCCUACGGGAGGCAGCAGUAGGGAAUCUUCGGCAAUGGACGAAAGUCUGACCGAGCAACGCCGCGUGAGUGAAGAAGGUUUUCGGAUCGUAAAACUCUGUUGGUAGAGAAGAACAUUGGUGAGAGUGGAAAGCUCAUCAAGUGACGGUAACUACCCAGAAAGGGACGGCUAACUACGUG